Molecule: ribosomal RNA, 462 nt
Filed under: uncultured bacterium
Lineage: Bacteria
Description: bacterial SSU rRNA
Rfam family: Bacterial small subunit ribosomal RNA
Source: RNAcentral
CGGCACGCCUAACACAUGCAAGUCGAACGGAGAUAUUUGGUUUACUGAGAUAUCUUAGUGGCGGACGGGUGAGUAACACGUGAGCAACCUGCCUUUGAGAGAGGGAUAGCUUCUGGAAACGGAUGGUAAUACCUCAUAACAUAAUUGGGAGGCAUCUUCUGAUUAUCAAAGAUUUAUCACUCAAAGAUGGGCUCGCGUCUGAUUAGAUAGUUGGUGAGGUAACGGCUCACCAAGUCGACGAUCAGUAGCCGGACUGAGAGGCUGAACGGCCACAUUGGGACUGAGACACGGCCCAGACUCCUACGGGAGGCAGCAGUGGGGAAUAUUGCACAAUGGGGGAAACCCUGAUGCAGCGAUGCCGCGUGGAGGAAGAAGGUUUUCGGAUUGUAAACUCCUGUCUUAAAGGACGAUAAUGACGGUACUUUAGGAGGAAGCUCCGGCUAACUACGUGCCAGCCGCCGC